This 370-nucleotide ribosomal RNA is filed under the name uncultured bacterium. Its description in RNAcentral is "bacterial SSU rRNA". It matches the Rfam family "Bacterial small subunit ribosomal RNA", at positions 108 to 507 of the family's 1533-position model. The record is from RNAcentral.
GAGUACACGUUGGAACCUGCCCCAAAGUGAGGAAUAAGCCACCGAAAGGUGGUCUAAUACUUCAUAAUAUCCAUCUCGUAUGGAUUAAAGCUUUAUGCGCUUUGGGAGGGGCCUGCGUAACAUUAGCUUGUUGGUGAGGUAAAAGCUCACCAAGGCUUCGAUGUUUAACUGGUUUGAGAGGAUGACCAGUCACACUGGGACUGAGAUACGGCCCAGACUCCUACGGGAGGCAGCAGUAAGGAAUCUUCCACAAUGGGGCAACCCUGAUGGAGCAAUACCGCGUGCAGGAUGAAGCGUUUCGGCGUGUAAACUGCUUUUAUCACCGAAGAUUAUGACUGUAGGUGAAGAAUAAGGACCGGCUAACUACGUG